AACGAACGCUGGCGGCAUGCCUAACACAUGCAAGUCGAACGAGACCUUCGGGUCUAGUGGCGCACGGGUGCGUAACGCGUGGGAAUCUGCCCUUCGGUUGGGAAUAACUGAGAGAAAUUUCAGCUAAUACCUUAUAAUGUCUUCGGACCAAAGAUUUAUCGCCGAGGGAUGAGCCCGCGUAGGAUUAGGUAGUUGUUGGGGUAAUGGCCUACCAAGCCGACGAUCCUUAGCUGGUCUGAGAGGAUGAUCAGCCACACUGGGACUGAGACACGGCCCAGACUCCUACGGGAGGCAGCAGUGGGGAAUAUUGGGCAAUGGGCGAACGCCUGAUCCAGCAAUGCCGCGUGAGUGAUGAAGGCCUUAGGGUUGUAAAGCUCUUUUACCCGGGAUGAUAAUGACAGUACCGGGAGAAUAAGCCCCGGCUAACUCCGUG
Molecule: ribosomal RNA, 433 nt
Filed under: uncultured bacterium
Lineage: Bacteria
Description: partial 16S ribosomal RNA
Rfam family: Bacterial small subunit ribosomal RNA
Source: RNAcentral